AGCGGCCUCGGCCAUCCUUGGGAAGAGCAGUCCUGGCAUUCAGUUGUCGGGGUUGGGAUUCCCGACGUUUACUGUGAAAAAAUCAGAGUGUUCAACGCAGGCUUACGCCUUGAAUACAUUAGCAUGGAAUAAUGAGAUAGGACCUUGGCGGUCUAUUUUGUUGGUUUGCACGCCGAGGUAAUGAUUAAAAGGGACGGUUGGGGUUCUUCGUAUUCAAUUGUCAGAGGUGAAAUUCUUGGAUUUAUGGAAGACGAACUGCUGCGAAAGCGUCGAACAAGGACGUUCU
RNAcentral lists this ribosomal RNA (286 nucleotides) under Pelagophyceae sp. RCC5673. RNAcentral describes it as "partial small subunit ribosomal RNA". The stretch from base 65 to 286 matches the Rfam family "Eukaryotic small subunit ribosomal RNA", at positions 748 to 970 of the family's 1831-position model. The record is from RNAcentral. Lineage: Eukaryota; Pelagophyceae.